CAGCAGCCGCGGUAAAACCAGCAGCCCAAGUGGUGGUCGCGAUUAUUGGGCCUAAAGCGCUCGUAGCCGGGCCGGUAAGUCCCUUGUGAAAUCGGACGGCCUAACCGUUCGGCGUGCAAGGGAUACUGUCGGUCUUGAGGCCGGGAGACGUCCGAGGUACUCCGGGGGUAGCGGUGAAAUGUUCUGAUCCUCGGGGGACCACCGGUGGCGAAGGCGUUCGACGAGAACGGGCCUGACGGUGAGGGGCGAAGGCUAGGGGAGCAAGCGGGAUUAGAUACCCGCGUAGUCCCUGUCUCUUAUA
RNAcentral lists this ribosomal RNA (301 nucleotides) under uncultured bacterium. RNAcentral's name for it is "partial 16S ribosomal RNA". It matches the Rfam family "Archaeal small subunit ribosomal RNA", at positions 459 to 759 of the family's 1478-position model. The record is from RNAcentral.